Molecule: long non-coding RNA, 1405 nt
Filed under: Limulus polyphemus (Atlantic horseshoe crab)
Lineage: Eukaryota; Metazoa; Arthropoda; Merostomata; Xiphosura; Limulidae
Description: uncharacterized LOC111085536, transcript variant X3
Source: RNAcentral
ACUUCUCCUUAAUGCUAAAUGGCAGAGUGACGAAUGUGUCUAGUUCAACUAGAUCAGAUGGGUGAAAUUGGGGGCAUAUCAUCUGCUGAUGGCGCCCCCAUAAAUCGCCAAAAAAAAAAUAUAUUGUUUAGAUGGCAAAGAGGAAGAUCGAUAAAUGACUAAGUGUCAGUGGAGAUUAACUGUAACUGCACAUACAUCAUAUGAUGGUUCCUGAUGUUCAUGAUAACUCCUGUAAGAAAAGUCAACACAUUUUCAAAUGAUACAACAACAUUAACUUCAACAGGAACCUUCUUGUGACUCCAUCCAAAACAUUUGCAUUUCAAUCAAACAUUACACUUUCCAACCUCGCACAUGCAACUGAGACUAAGGUAAGCAUGACUUUCAAACAUUCUUCCAGUGUAUAUUGACUAAUUUGGAACUAAAAAUAAAUUUCUAUAGGUAAAUUACUUUGAAAAAAGCAAUGGACUUUCACCAAAAUCUUGUCAUGAAGGAGGUAAGAACUUGUUUACAAAUGAAGAUUUCACUACAAGAGAAGAACUGAUGAGCACAAUUUCUAUUGUUUAAAAGCUAUAAACUGUCAUUGAAAAUAAAUGUUAGUGCUUUUUAUUUUUUCUAGAUCUUGCAGUGAUCAAAAUAGCCAUAAUUUCUGUAUGAUUGCCUUACAAUUUUAAGAUUAUAAAACAAAAUUGUGACUGAGGACUAAGUGAUUGGAUAUGCUGACUGACAAAGAUCAGGAAGAUGUGUUCAGAUCAAGGAUUUAGAAUUUUCACAACAGGGAUAUCCAUUGUACUUGGUGACAUUUGGAAAACAAAAAUAUGGAUUAACCUUGGGAACCAGGACCAUACAGAAAGACCUGCAACAAGUUGUACUCUAGCAGGGGCUUUAGUAGAGAUCAUUUCAAGAGGCGUGGUCAAGUGGUUAACACUCUUGGACUGUGAAAUCGAGUAAUCAUGGUUCGUGACCCGAUGCCACAAAAUCAUGCUCCACAUUUGGAGGCUGUGGGUGUCUCAUAAGAGUGACGGUCAAAUGCCUCUUCAUACACAAAAGUUGGCGGUGGAUGCUGUUGACGAGUUCCUUACCUCCAGCCUAUCAUUUCGAAAUUAGGUAUGCCUAUGCACAGACAGCCCUUUGUGUAGUUUUGCGUGAAAAUUCUAAAAACAAACAUAAACAAAUUUUCCUGCUUCUUAUGAGAAACAGACUUAAAAAAGAGGAAAAAAGUCAGACUUGGCAUAUAGCACAAGCUAAUACGUAAUUCUUCAGUUCGGUGCUAACCUAAGAUAAGAUGGAUUCAUGUUUGAGUAUCUGUUUAUCUGUACUUUCAUGGAUUAUUAUCAUACUUGAAUCAUUGGAGUAAACCUUAAGUACGAAAGCUGUGGUUUCGUUUACUAGUUUCUGUGUUUUGUUA